This 484-nucleotide ribosomal RNA is filed under the name uncultured bacterium. RNAcentral's name for it is "partial 16S ribosomal RNA". It matches the Rfam family "Bacterial small subunit ribosomal RNA", at positions 28 to 523 of the family's 1533-position model. The record is from RNAcentral.
GAUGAACGCUGGCGGCGUGCUUAACACAUGCAAGUCGAACGGUGAAGCAGGAGCUUGCUCUUGAGGAUCAGUGGCGAACGGGUGAGUAACACGUGAGCAACCUGCCCCUGACUCUGGGAUAAGCGCUGGAAACGGCGUCUAAUACUGGAUAUGUGAUGUGACCGCAUGGUCUGCAUCUGGAAAGAAUUUCGGUUGGGGGUGGGCUCGCGGCCUAUCAGCUUGUUGGUGAGGUAAUGGCUCACCAAGGCGUCGACGGGUAGCCGGCCUGAGAGGGUGACGGGCCACACGGGGACUGAGACGCGGCCCAGACUCCUACGGGAGGCAGCAGUGGGGAAUAUUGCACAAUGGGCGGAAGCCUGAUGCGGCAACGCCGCGUGAGGGAUGACGGCCUUCGGGUUGUAAACCUCUUUUAGCAGGGAAGAAGCGAAAGUGACGGUACCUGCAGAAAAAGCACCGGCUAACUACGUGCCAGCCGCCGCCGUAA